This 38-nucleotide ribosomal RNA is filed under the name Leptolyngbya sp. PCC 7410. RNAcentral's name for it is "partial 23S ribosomal RNA". The record is from RNAcentral. Lineage: Bacteria; Bacillati; Cyanobacteriota; Cyanophyceae; Leptolyngbyales; Leptolyngbyaceae. RNAcentral also lists the same sequence under 1 other name.
GGUCAAGCUACAAAGGGCAGAUGGUGGAUACCUAGGCA